GCAGCAGCCGCGGUAAUACAGAGGGUGCGAGCGUUAAUCGGAUUUACUGGGCGUAAAGCGUGCGUAGGCGGCUUUUUAAGUCGGAUGUGAAAUCCCUGAGCUUAACUUAGGAAUUGCAUUCGAUACUGGGAAGCUAGAGUAUGGGAGAGGAUGGUAGAAUUCCAGGUGUAGCGGUGAAAUGCGUAGAGAUCUGGAGGAAUACCGAUGGCGAAGGCAGCCAUCUGGCCUAAUACUGACGCUGAGGUACGAAAGCAUGGGGAGCAAACAGGAUUAGAUACCCCAGUAGUCCCUGUCUCUUAUAC
RNAcentral lists this ribosomal RNA (302 nucleotides) under uncultured bacterium. RNAcentral's name for it is "partial 16S ribosomal RNA". It matches the Rfam family "Bacterial small subunit ribosomal RNA", at positions 508 to 807 of the family's 1533-position model. The record is from RNAcentral.